GACGAACGCUGGCGGCGUGCUUAACACAUGCAAGUCGAACGGAAAGGCCCCUUCGGGGGUACUCGAGUGGCGAACGGGUGGGUAACACGUGGGUGACCUGCCCUGCACUACGGGAUAAGCCUGGGAAACUGGGUCUAAUACCGGAUAGGACCGCGUCGUGAGGAUGUGGUGGAAAGUUUUUUCGGUGCAGGAUGGGCCCGCGGCCUAUCAGCUUGUUGGUGGGGUAAUGGCCUACCAAGGCGGCGACGGGUAGCCGGCCUGAGAGGGUGGACGGCCACAUUGGGGCUGAGACACGGCCCAGACUCCUACGGGAGGCAGCAGUGGGGAAUAUUGCACAAUGGGCGCAAGCCUGAUGCAGCGACGCCGCGUGGGGGAUGAAGGCCUUCGGGUUGUAAACUCCUUUCAUCAUCGACGAAGGGCUCCCUUGUUGGGGGUUUGACGGUAGGUGGAGAAGAAGCACCGGCUAACUACGUGCCAGCCGCCGCGGUAA
RNAcentral lists this ribosomal RNA (490 nucleotides) under uncultured bacterium. RNAcentral describes it as "partial 16S ribosomal RNA". It matches the Rfam family "Bacterial small subunit ribosomal RNA", at positions 28 to 523 of the family's 1533-position model. The record is from RNAcentral.